Molecule: ribosomal RNA, 253 nt
Filed under: uncultured bacterium
Lineage: Bacteria
Description: partial 16S ribosomal RNA
Rfam family: Bacterial small subunit ribosomal RNA
Source: RNAcentral
UACGUAGGGUGCGAGCGUUAAUCGGAAUUACUGGGCGUAAAGCGCACGUAGGCGGCUUUGUAAGUUAGAGGUGAAAGCCCGGAGCUCAACUCCGGAACUGCCUUUAAGACUGCAUCGCUUGAAUCCAGGAGAGGUGAGUGGAAUUCCGAGUGUAGAGGUGAAAUUCGUAGAUAUUCGGAAGAACACCAGUGGCGAAGGCGGCUCACUGGACUGGUAUUGACGCUGAGGUGCGAAAGCGUGGGGAGCAAACAGG